Molecule: long non-coding RNA, 302 nt
Organism: Poecilia latipinna (sailfin molly)
Lineage: Eukaryota; Metazoa; Chordata; Actinopteri; Cyprinodontiformes; Poeciliidae
Exons: 3
Source: RefSeq, a predicted model, not a curated record
UGAGCAUUUCCCUGAGGACGGUCUACAAACAAACAUCGAGCUGUUGGAUCAUUUUGAAUCUAUGUGAAAGGACGUAAUCAAAUUGUUGAUCUCUACACAAACUACAGUAAUCAUGCAGUGGUACUUGUUCUUUCUUACUGUGAUGGUUCAGAAUCAUCUGAUGGACUGUCAGCUCUAUGAGUUUCACUACAUUAAACAGAAUAAGAACUGGACUGAAGCUCAGCAGUACUGCAGAGAGAAACACACUGACCUGGUCACAGUGACUAACAUGAAGGACAUGAAGAGACUCAUCAGUGUCUCAC